RNAcentral lists this ribosomal RNA (537 nucleotides) under uncultured bacterium. RNAcentral's name for it is "bacterial SSU rRNA". It matches the Rfam family "Bacterial small subunit ribosomal RNA", at positions 389 to 917 of the family's 1533-position model. The record is from RNAcentral.
CAGCCAUGCCGCGUGUGUGAAGAAGGCCUUUUGGUUGUAAAGCACUUUAAGCGAGGAGGAGGCUACUUGGAUUAAUACUCUAGGAUAGUGGACGUUACUCGCAGAAUAAGCACCGGCUAACUCUGUGCCAGCAGCCGCGGUAAUACAGAGGGUGCGAGCGUUAAUCGGAUUUACUGGGCGUAAAGCGUGCGUAGGCGGCUUUUUAAGUCGGAUGUGAAAUCCCUGAGCUUAACUUAGGAAUUGCAUUCGAUACUGGGAAGCUAGAGUAUGGGAGAGGAUGGUAGAAUUCCAGGUGCAGCGGUGAAAUGCGUAGAGAUCUGGAGGAAUACCGAUGGCGAAGGCAGCCAUCUGGCCUAAUACUGACGCUGGGGUACGAAAGCAUGGGGAGCAAACAGGAUUAGAUACCCUGGUAGUCCAUGCCGUAAACGAUGUCUACUAGCCGUUGGGGCCUUUGAGGCUUUAGUGGCGCAGCUAACGCGAUAAGUAGACCGCCUGGGGAGUACGGUCGCAAGACUAAAACUCAAAUGAAUUGACGGA